Molecule: ribosomal RNA, 465 nt
Filed under: uncultured bacterium
Lineage: Bacteria
Description: partial 16S ribosomal RNA
Rfam family: Bacterial small subunit ribosomal RNA
Source: RNAcentral
GACGAACGCUGGCGGCGUGCUUAACACAUGCAAGUCGAACGGAAAGGCCCUGCUUGCUGGGUACUCGAGUGGCGAACGGGUGAGUAACACGUGGGUGAUCUGCCCUGCACUUCGGGAUAAGCCUGGGAAACUGGGUCUAAUACCGGAUAGGAGCCAUUUUUAGUGUGAUGGUUGGAAAGUUUUUUCGGUGUAGGAUGAGCUCGCGGCCUAUCAGCUUGUUGGUGGGGUAAUGGCCUACCAAGGCGGCGACGGGUAGCCGGCCCGGGAGGGUGGACGGCCACAGUGGGACUGAGAUACGGCCCAGACUCCUACGGGAGGCAGCAGUGGGGAAUAUUGCACAAUGGGCGCAAGCCUGAUGCAGCGACGCCGCGUGGGGGAUGACGGCCUUCGGGUUAGAAACUCAUUUCGCUAGGGACGAAGCUUUUUGUGACGGUACCUAGAUAAGAAGCACCGGCUAACUACGUG